This is a long non-coding RNA of Melospiza melodia melodia, 668 nucleotides long. RefSeq lists it as uncharacterized. The transcript is spliced from 2 exons. The record is from RefSeq and is a predicted model, not a curated record. NCBI's taxonomy places the organism in Eukaryota, Metazoa, Chordata, Aves, Passeriformes, Passerellidae.
GCGGCGGGAGGGAGCGGUGGCCGGCGCCUCACGAACUCUGUCCCGCCGCUGCUCUGCGCUCUGGGGCGAUGCCUGUCCCGUGCUGUUACAGCCGGGCAGCCGCGGGCCCUUCCCCCGUUCCCGUGAGUCACACGGGGGGGUGAGGGGAGAGAGCAGGAAGCGCCGGAGCCGCCACAUUGCCCUUAUAAGGCCUCGACUCGACGGCACCGGGAGCUGCUUCCGCCUGCCCAGGUCCUGCUGCACAUCUCCUGCUGUACCCCACAGAGCCUUCCCACAUCCCCUUCCCACAUCCCCGUCCCCGCCCCACACGCCUUCCUCACACCCCACACCAACCCCCCCCAUCUCCCCCUGCCCCAGUCCAUCCCCCACAUCGACCCAUCCCAGCACCUCCUCAACCCCCACCUCUGCCCCCACCACCCCCUGAACACCUGGGGGGAAGGGCCCUGCCCCACAACCUGCCAGGAUACCUAAGGUUCCUGACCCCCAAUUCCCCACUGCCCUUUCUCUUCCCCCUAUAUGUCCCCCAGCCCCCUUGUUCCAUCCUACCACCCCCCCAAAUAUCCCCCACUCCCCUUUAUUCCAUCCUACACCCCCCAUCUGACCUCCCCUCGCUGCCAGCGCAGCCUGCCCCACAAGUGCAGCCCUCCAAUAAAGCCUCUGCCCCAUAA